This 774-nucleotide ribosomal RNA is filed under the name uncultured Neocallimastigales. RNAcentral's name for it is "partial large subunit ribosomal RNA". It matches the Rfam family "Eukaryotic large subunit ribosomal RNA", at positions 22 to 647 of the family's 3401-position model. The record is from RNAcentral. Lineage: Eukaryota; Fungi; Neocallimastigomycota; Neocallimastigomycetes; Neocallimastigales.
GUACACGCUGUGACUAGCAUAUCAAUAAGCGGAGGAAAAGAAACUAACAAGGAUUCCCCUAGUAACGGCGAGUGAAGCGGGAAGAGCUCAAAUUUGAAAUCUUAAAGGGUUUCCCUUUACGAAUUGUAGUUUAAAGAAGUGUUUUCUGUUGAGGUUUUGGUAAAAGUUCUUUGGAAUAGGACAUCAUAGAGGGUGAGAAUCCCGUAUUUGACCUUUACUUUCAACUUUGUGAUACACUUUCAAAGAGUCGGAUUGUUUGGGAAUGCAGUCCAAAAUGGGUGGUAAAUUUCAUCUAAAGCUAAAUAUUGGCGAGAGACCGAUAGCGAACAAGUACCGUGAGGGAAAGAUGAAAAGAACUUUGAAAAGAGAGUUAAACAGUACGUGAAAUUGUCAAAAGGGAAGCGUUUGACACCAGUGUUGUUUUUCUGAAAAUCAAUUAAAGAACUGUUUAUGCUAAGUUGUUUAGACUUUAUCAGCUAUCUGCUUAGUUUUGAGCUUUUCUUUAAUGCACUUUUCAGUUAACAAGUCAACAUCAAUUUCUUUUGCUGUAAAAAAGCUUGAGGAAGGUGGCUUGAGAUUCGUCUUAAGUGUUUAUAGCCUCUUGCCUAUGCAGUCGGAGAGAUUGAGGUCUGCAGCGUAGAUCCUUCGGGGCUAAAUGCAUUUGUGCUAAGUUAUAGCAUUUCAUAGACAACUUGUUGACUAUGAUUUGUCUUGUAGCUUACUCGCUUAUGUUAUUUUACCUACGCUUAGGAUGUUGACGAGACUGUCGAUCUC